This 1333-nucleotide ribosomal RNA is filed under the name Enterococcus durans. RNAcentral's name for it is "bacterial SSU rRNA". It matches the Rfam family "Bacterial small subunit ribosomal RNA", at positions 91 to 1411 of the family's 1533-position model. The record is from RNAcentral. Lineage: Bacteria; Bacillati; Bacillota; Bacilli; Lactobacillales; Enterococcaceae.
AAGAGUGGCGAACGGGUGAGUAACACGUGGGUAACCUGCCCAUCAGAAGGGGAUAACACUUGGAAACAGGUGCUAAUACCGUAUAACAAUCGAAACCGCAUGGUUUUGAUUUGAAAGGCGCUUUCGGGUGUCGCUGAUGGAUGGACCCGCGGUGCAUUAGCUAGUUGGUGAGGUAACGGCUCACCAAGGCCACGAUGCAUAGCCGACCUGAGAGGGUGAUCGGCCACAUUGGGACUGAGACACGGCCCAAACUCCUACGGGAGGCAGCAGUAGGGAAUCUUCGGCAAUGGACGAAAGUCUGACCGAGCAACGCCGCGUGAGUGAAGAAGGUUUUCGGAUCGUAAAACUCUGUUGUUAGAGAAGAACAAGGAUGAGAGUAACUGUUCAUCCCUUGACGGUAUCUAACCAGAAAGCCACGGCUAACUACGUGCCAGCAGCCGCGGUAAUACGUAGGUGGCAAGCGUUGUCCGGAUUUAUUGGGCGUAAAGCGAGCGCAGGCGGUUUCUUAAGUCUGAUGUGAAAGCCCCCGGCUCAACCGGGGAGGGUCAUUGGAAACUGGGAGACUUGAGUGCAGAAGAGGAGAGUGGAAUUCCAUGUGUAGCGGUGAAAUGCGUAGAUAUAUGGAGGAACACCAGUGGCGAAGGCGGCUCUCUGGUCUGUAACUGACGCUGAGGCUCGAAAGCGUGGGGAGCAAACAGGAUUAGAUACCCUGGUAGUCCACGCCGUAAACGAUGAGUGCUAAGUGUUGGAGGGUUUCCGCCCUUCAGUGCUGCAGCUAACGCAUUAAGCACUCCGCCUGGGGAGUACGACCGCAAGGUUGAAACUCAAAGGAAUUGACGGGGGCCCGCACAAGCGGUGGAGCAUGUGGUUUAAUUCGAAGCAACGCGAAGAACCUUACCAGGUCUUGACAUCCUUUGACCACUCUAGAGAUAGAGCUUCCCCUUCGGGGGCAAAGUGACAGGUGGUGCAUGGUUGUCGUCAGCUCGUGUCGUGAGAUGUUGGGUUAAGUCCCGCAACGAGCGCAACCCUUAUUGUUAGUUGCCAUCAUUUAGUUGGGCACUCUAGCAAGACUGCCGGUGACAAACCGGAGGAAGGUGGGGAUGACGUCAAAUCAUCAUGCCCCUUAUGACCUGGGCUACACACGUGCUACAAUGGGAAGUACAACGAGUCGCGAAGUCGCGAGGCUAAGCUAAUCUCUUAAAGCUUCUCUCAGUUCGGAUUGUAGGCUGCAACUCGCCUACAUGAAGCCGGAAUCGCUAGUAAUCGCGGAUCAGCACGCCGCGGUGAAUACGUUCCCGGGCCUUGUACACACCGCCCGUCACACCACGAGAGU